RNA transcript from Dromaius novaehollandiae (emu), 5473 nucleotides. It is a transcript of the gene named SR-related CTD associated factor 8, with no coding region annotated. The transcript has 22 exons. The record is from RefSeq and is a predicted model, not a curated record. Lineage: Eukaryota; Metazoa; Chordata; Aves; Casuariiformes; Dromaiidae.
GAAGGGAGAGGGAGGAGGAUGAAGUGGAGGAGGCCUCUUUCCUGUGCCUGGCUUGCGGUGGGGUUGGCGAUGCCCAGCCAACUUCAUGCAGCAGGCUGGAGGAGGUCGUGCUAGCCGGUGGGGGAAUUUCCUGUUUCCCAGGCAUGGGACUUGUUCAGUGUUCCCGAAUCACUCACCUUUUCUGCCACAUUCCUUCUCCUCUCAUGUUAAAUUUGUACUCGCUAAAUGAUUACAAGCCACCUAUUUCCAAAGCUAAAAUGACACAGAUCACCAAGGCAGCAAUCAAGGCUAUAAAGUUCUACAAACACGUUGUGCAGAGUGUUGAGAAAUUCAUUCAGAAGUGCAAACCAGAAUACAAGGUGCCUGGUCUCUAUGUCAUUGACUCCAUUGUGAGACAGUCCCGACAUCAGUUUGGGCAAGAAAAGGAUGUGUUUGCUCCAAGAUUUAGCAAUAACAUCAUCAGCACUUUCCAGAACUUGUAUCGUUGCCCUGGGGAUGACAAGAGUAAAAUUGUUAGAGUGCUAAAUUUAUGGCAGAAGAAUAAUGUGUUUAAGAGUGAAAUUAUUCAGCCUCUCUUGGAUAUGGCAGCAGGAAUUCCUCCUCCAGUUGUGACCCCAGUCUUGCCCAGCACUACAGCUGCUAUGAGCAACAAUACACCAGGAACACCUGUGACUCCAGUUACUCCAGCCAAUGUGGUGCAGAGUUUACCUGAUCCUUGGGUAUCUCAAAUUGCUAAUACAGAUACACUUGCUGCUGUAGCACAAAUUUUACAAAGUCCCCAAGGCCAGCAGCUUCAGCAGUUAAUACAGACACUGCAGAUACAACAGCAGAAACCUCAGCCUUCACUACUUCAAGCCCUGGAUGCUGGUCUUGUUGUUCAGUUACAGGCCCUCACUGCACAGCUUACAGCUGCUGCUGCUGCUGCCAACACACUUAAUCCACUGGAACAGAGUGUCUCUUUUAAUAAGAAGCUGAUGGACAGGUUUGACUUUGGGGAAGAAUCUGAACAAAGUGAAGAGCCUAAAAAGGAAACUCCCACUUCCCAACUGCCUUUAGUACCAGAAUCUGUGAACAACUCACUUUUUCAUCAACUAGCUGAACAACUACAGCAACAAAACUUGGAACAUCUCAGACAACAGCUUCUGGAGCAACAGCAGCCUCAAAAGGCAAGCCCUGAGGAAAAUCCGGAGGGAAAUUUUGGCUCAGAGCACUCUGCAUCACCUUCGCAAGGGAGUAGUCAACAGCAGUUUUUAGAAGUGGAAACAAAUGUAGAUGAUUCAAUGGAUAUUCAGCAACAGGACAUGGAUAUAGAUGAAGGACAAGAUGUGGCUGAAGAGGAGAUUUUUGAACAAGAAGAAAAGAAAUCAGCUGUUCGUUCAAGAUCAAGAACACGUUCAAGAUCUCGUUCAAGGUCACCAAGAAAACGAAGGUCUAGAUCAAGAUCUGGUUCUCGUAAGCGUAAACACAGAAAACGUUCACGCUCAAGAUCGAGAGAAAGGAAGAGAAAGUCAUCUCGGUCAUACUCCAGUGAAAGAAGGGCUAGGGAAAGGGAAAAGGAACGUCAGAAAAAGGGAUUACCUCCUAUACGGUCAAAAACACUAAGUGUUUGCAGUACUACUCUUUGGGUAGGUCAAGUAGACAAGAAGGCUACACAGCAGGAUUUAACCAAUUUGUUUGAAGAAUUUGGACAAAUAGAAUCUAUUAAUAUGAUUCCCCCAAGAGGUUGUGCUUAUGUCUGCAUGGUUCAUAGACAAGAUGCAUAUCGUGCUCUUCAGAAACUUAGUUCUGGGUCCUAUAAAAUUGGAUCUAAAAUUAUUAAGAUUGCCUGGGCUUUAAAUAAAGGUGUGAAAACGGAGUACAAGCAGUUCUGGGAUGUGGAUCUGGGAGUUUCGUAUAUCCCUUGGGAGAAAGUAAAAUUGGAUGAUUUGGAUGGCUUUGCUGAAGGUGGUAUGAUUGACCAGGAGACAGUAAAUACUGAAUGGGAAACAGCCAGAAGCUCAGAAGCUGCUAAAGAAAAUAUUCAAACUACGCAGAGUACUUCAGUUGAUAAGAGCACAGUUAUUACAACGCAGACAGAAGCUUACACGCAACCAGUCACUAUGCUGCAGAUUCCGGUAGCUCCAGCUGUGCCUGCUGUUAGCUUAGUUCCACCUGCGUUUCCUGUCACGAUGUCUGUCCCUCCUCCUGGUUAUAGCGCAAUUCCUCCUCCACCUUUCUUGCGAGCAAGUUUCAACCCGUCACAACCCCCUCCAGGUUUUAUGCCUCCGCCAGUUCCACCUGUCCCACCACCUGUUGUCCCGCCACCUGUUGUCCCACCGGUAGUUCCAACACCUUUAGUACAGCCUCCAUUACCAAUUACGCAAGAGGCGAUGAAAGAUGUUCCUUUUACUAGCCUUGUUCUACCAGUUGGCACAGUUAGUAGCAAUAUAGCCACUCCAACGUUAUCUACUGGAAGCGUUUUUAAUCCUCUUCCAAGCAGCAAAGCAGAAUCAGAUGAAAAAGGCUCACAUCUUACAGACCUUCAGAUUUCUUCCAGUGAAAACAGUAGAUCUGUGCAAAAUGAUGUCUCGAGUAGCUCUGGACUUGUUGGAGGAGUGCAGCCACCCAGCGUUUCAAGCAGUUCUGGGCUUACCGGAGAAGGGCAGCCACCCAGUGUCUCAAGUAACUCUGGAAUUGCAGGGGGAGUACAACCACCAAAUGUCUCAAGCAGCUCUGGACUUGUGGGAGGAGUACAACCACCAACUGUUACAAGCAGUCCUGGUCUUACAGGAGGAGUGCAGCUACCCAGCGUCUCCAGUACCUCUUCUCUUACAGGAGGAGUUCAGCCAACCAGCGUCUCAAAUAGCUCUGGACUUAUGGCUGGAGUGCCACAACCAAAUGUCUCAAGUAGCUCAGGGCUUCUAGCUGGAGUGCAUCCACCCAGUGUCUCGAGCAGCCCUGGGCUUUUGACGGGAAUGCAGCCACCUAUUGUCUCAAGCAGUUCAGGACUUCUGGCAGGAGUGCAGCCGCCCAGUGUCUCAAGCAGCUCUGGGCUUCUCAUAAUGCCACCACCCAAUGUUUCAAGUAGUUCUGGACUUAUGGGAGUGCCACCACCAAAUAUUUCAAAUAGUUCUGGACUUCUGGCAAUGCAGCAUCCAGCUGGGGUUCAAAAUAUGCCUCAUUUAAAUAUUAGCAAUCAAAGGAUGCCGGGAAUGCCUAUUUUAGAUAUCCGUCCAGGCCUAAUGCCCCAUUCACCUGGACCAAGAUUUCCAUUAAUGCAACCUGGAAUACCUCCGCAGCGCAGUAUUCCUCCUCCAGCAAUCCUUGAUCCAUCUCUUCACCCACCACCUCGAGGUCCUUUUCCCCCAGGAGAUAUUUUUAAUCAAACAGAAAGACCUUUUGGAACACCAGGAAGACAAAAUAUUGAUAGCAUUGCUAAUUCAGAGAAAAGACUCCCGCUUGGAGGCGAUAACAUUCAACAGGAAGGAGACAGAGAUUAUCGCUUUCCUCCAGUAGAAAACAGAGAUAAUCUUAACAGACCAUCCCCAGUGGACAUUAGAGAUUCUGUUGGACGACCACCUAUUGAUCCAAGAGAGGGUAUAGGAAGACCUCCAGUGGAUGGAAGAGAACAUUUUGCAAGACCACAUGUAGACAUGAGAGAGAAUUUUGGAAGACCAGGUAUAGAUAAUCUUGGUCGAAGGGAGCAUUUUGGUUUCAAUUCAGAGAAGCACUGGGGACAGAGAGGAGAUUACGAUGAAAGAGAGCACCAUGCCUUCCCUAUUUAUGGUGGUCCUAAAGGCUUCCAUGAAGACAGAGAGAGGUUUCGGCAUGUAAACUAUAGGUUUGACAGUAGAAGUGGUCCCAAUUGGAAUAGAGGAUUUGAACAAGAUGCUCACAGAGAUUUUGAUGACCGCAGAAGACCCUGGGAAAGACAGAGGGAUAGAGAUGACAGAGAUUUUAAUUUUUGCCGAGAAAUUAAUGGAAACAGGUUUGGAAGAGACAGAAUGUCAAACAACUGGAUCCCCCCUCCGCAUCCAAGGGUUUUUGAAUAUUUUGAUGGGGCCACUUCGCAACGCAAAGCUGAUAAUAUGCCCCAGGUAAAUGGUGAAAAUACAGAGACAGAAAGUCAGCCACCAGCUGUGCAGGUGCAGGACGAUCCAGAACUUUAUGAAAAACUGACAUCUUCCAGCGAGAUAAACAAAGAGAAGAGUGACACAGAAGCUGAUAUAGAAAGUGAACCAGUGGUAGAAAGCACAGAAACUGAGGGGACAUAAUCAUCACUCAGUAGGAGCUGAACGGAUAUAACCUAUUCAGAAUAUCAGGAGUCACCAAGAAUAACUAGGACAAUUUUUCAUUAUUGUUUAUUAAGGCAAGAUGAAGGAAGUUCUGGCAGCUUACCAUGUCCCGGGCUCUGCAGAGUUAAGUGAGAAGUGCUCCAAUGCGCUAGUUUGCAUCACCUUGCGGGGCUGACGUGCUAGAAGGAUCCCAGCGCUGCAGACUGAGACGGCUCUGAGCACCUCAGUACCCCAUUUCUGCUAGAACCCAGGGAUGGCAAAUUUACAUACCAGUAUUACCUGUCUGGAGCAGGUUUAAUUUUAUAAAUUAAAACCAUAAACUCUAUGAGUUUCUAGACCAUAUUUGUGCUGUUGAGGAUGAUCUGCUCAGAUGAACAGUUUUGCGUCCAUCGGAGAGACAGGUUCUUCUGCUGGACCAGAAGAUGACAGUGGACUGUAUAUUGUAACUAACAUCAUUUGUAGCAUCUCCUAGUGGAAAUAAUUGAAGAACAGGUUGCAAGAAAAUCCUUUAGGGAAUAAGAUAUGUUUUGUUUUGAUCUACCAAUUUUAAAAAGUUUUGUUUUGUUUUUUAAAGAUAACCACUUUUACAUAACACUACAUGUGCAGUCCGUGUGCAGCUCUUCACUUGUGGCUAUAUUCCAGAGAUGAUGAAUUCCUUAUGAGACACCUGAACCUUUUUAGAUUUGUGAUGAACCCUUAAAUUAUCAAAGUAUCAUGAAAAAUAGAAAGUUAAGUUCCAGGGCUUUUAUUUGACUUGUUAGUGUCCUGGAAGGCAGAGGACAGAGCUGGAAGUAGUAAUGAAAUACAAAAUGAUAUAUUGCAUUUCUUUUUUGGCAUAUGCACCUACCAGAAUGUGUGUUUGGUCUAAUAACCAAGGGAAGAGAAACAGCUUAACUCAUCUGAGCCCUCACAGGAAAAUUCUUCAUUUUAGGGCAAUAUUUGCUCAUUUGGUCUCCUGAAUAGCUAUAGAAAAGAAGGAAUAUAUAUAUGCCUCUCCAUAUGUGAAAAGGACAUACUUGCCAUUCCUUUAUUUAUUUUUGCUCUUUCAAAAAUUAAAGUGCCAGUUAUUUGGAAUGCUGUAGUCUGUGGUCUCUUUAAAUUUGGUUAGUGAGAUCCUUUCAGCAAGAUCAUUCCCAUUAUGGUGUAACUGCAUGGUGACCACAGCUUUGGGCCUGUAUAAUAAAGAUCUGAAUUCAAAA